Molecule: ribosomal RNA, 301 nt
Filed under: uncultured bacterium
Lineage: Bacteria
Description: partial 16S ribosomal RNA
Rfam family: Bacterial small subunit ribosomal RNA
Source: RNAcentral
CAGCAGCCGCGGUAAUACAGAGGGUGCGAGCGUUAAUCGGAUUUACUUGGCGUAAAGCGUGCGUAGGCGGCUAAUUGAGUCGGAUGUGAAAUCCCCGAGCUUAACUUGGGAAUUGCAUUCGAUACUGGUUAGCUAGAGUGUGGGAGAGGAUGGUAGAAUUCCAGGUGUAGCGGUGAAAUGCGUAGAGAUCUGGAGGAAUACCGAUGGCGAAGGCAGCCAUCUGGCCUAACACUGACGCUGAGGUACGAAAGCAUGGGGAGCAAACAGGAUUAGAUACCCCCGUAGUCCCUGUCUCUUAUAA